GAUGAACGCUGGCGGCGUGCUUAACACAUGCAGGUCGAACGGAAAGGCCCAAGCUUGCUUGGGUACUCGAGUGGCGAACGGGUGAGUAACACGUGGGUGAUCUGCCCUGCACUUCGGGAUAAGCCUGGGAAACUGGGUCUAAUACCGGAUAGGACCACUUCUUGGAUGUUGUGGUGGAAAGUUUUUUCGUUGUGGGAUGAGCUCGCGGCCUAUCAGCUUGUUGGUGGGGUAAUGGCCUACCAAGGCGUCGACGGGUAGCCGGCCUGAGAGGGUGUACGGCCACAUUGGGACUGAGGUACGGCCCAGAUACGGACGGGAGGCAGCAGUGGGGAAGAUUGCACAAGGGGCGCAAGCCUGAUGCAGAGAGGCCGCGUGGGGGAUGACGGCCUUCGGGUUGUAAACUCCUUUCGCUAGGGACGAAGCGUUUUGUGACGGUACCUGGAGAAGAAGCACCGGCUAACUACGUG
Molecule: ribosomal RNA, 467 nt
Filed under: uncultured bacterium
Lineage: Bacteria
Description: partial 16S ribosomal RNA
Rfam family: Bacterial small subunit ribosomal RNA
Source: RNAcentral